This 625-nucleotide long non-coding RNA is filed under the name Lathyrus oleraceus (garden pea). Its description in RNAcentral is "Pisum sativum (pea) long non-coding RNA (PSAT_LNC003808)". Lineage: Eukaryota; Viridiplantae; Streptophyta; Magnoliopsida; Fabales; Fabaceae. The record is from RNAcentral.
AAAAAAAAUAGAAUUAAUCAAAAGGACAUGAAGCAUAUUAAAGAGAAAGGUAUAUGAUAUUACAUUCGACAAGGAAAGUAACUGGUCUGCAACAUUGCAAUGAAAUCAAGCACAUAUUAACAUGAUAAGAGUUAAGAAAACCAAACCCAACAACCAACAUAGCCCAUCACAAUAUCUCAUCAAAACUCCAAAGACCCAUCUUUGUUUUUAUGGGACCCACCAUCCAGCUAUAAGGGUUUGUUUGGUUUUCCUCUCACAAAAGCAUUUUCUGACCAAUUUAGGCCAACUAUACCAUGACAUCAUGUAGACAUUUUACAAUAAACAUUCAAUGAAAAAAAGCUAUUCUUUUGCAAGAUAUAGUCAAAAGGUAUACACAUAUACUGAGGGAUUAACUGCAGCCAUCCGGUCCGGGUUCAGCGUGAAACUACACUGGCCAGGCCACAGAACAUGAUAACUUAGACAAAAAAUAAUGGUGCCGCUUUUGUUUUAAUGUAUCAACUAGUAUACACUUUGCCUCCUAUGAUUAUCAUCAUGAUCCGGUUGAUUGAACAAAUUGUAGCCCUAUUUGCCGCUUUAUGUGGUCAGGUAUCAACUUGUUAACAAGCUCUGGGGAUGCUCCUGAUAA